GCGGGGGUCGCCUAGCCUGGCCAAGGGCGCUGGGUUGAGGUCCCAGUGGCUUAGUGCCUUCGUGGGUUCAAAUCCCACCCCCCGCA
This 86-nucleotide transfer RNA is filed under the name Zestosphaera sp. Its description in RNAcentral is "tRNA-Leu". It matches the Rfam family "tRNA". From Rfam's summary of the family: Transfer RNA (tRNA) molecules are approximately 80 nucleotides in length. Their secondary structure includes four short double-helical elements and three loops (D, anti-codon, and T loops). Further hydrogen bonds mediate the characteristic L-shaped molecular structure. tRNAs have two regions of fundamental functional importance: the anti-codon, which is responsible for specific mRNA codon recognition, and the 3' end, to which the tRNAs corresponding amino acid is attached (by aminoacyl-tRNA synthetases). tRNAs cope with the degeneracy of the genetic code in two manners: having more than one tRNA (with a specific anti-codon) for a particular amino acid; and 'wobble' base-pairing, i.e. permitting non-standard base-pairing at the 3rd anti-codon position. RNAcentral also lists the same sequence under 2 other names. Lineage: Archaea; Thermoproteati; Thermoproteota; Thermoprotei; Desulfurococcales; Desulfurococcaceae. The record is from RNAcentral.